GAUGAACGCUGGCGGCGUGCCUAAUACAUGCAAGUCGAGCGAACGGACGAGAAGCUUGCUUUUCUGAUGUUAGCGGCGGACGGGUGAGUAACACGUGGAUAACCUACCUAUAAGACUGGGAUAACUUCGGGAAACCGGAGCUAAUACCGGAUAAUGUUUUGAACCGCAUGGUUCAAAAGUGAAAGACGGUCUUGCUGUCACUUAUAGAUGGAUCCGCGCUGCAUUAGCUAGUUGGUAAGGUAACGGCUUACCAAGGCAACGAUGCAUAGCCGACCUGAGAGGGUGAUCGGCCACACUGGAACUGAGACACGGUCCAGACUCCUACGGGAGGCAGCAGUAGGGAAUCUUCCGCAAUGGGCGAAAGCCUGACGGAGCAACGCCGCGUGAGUGAUGAAGGUCUUCGGAUCGUAAAACUCUGUUAUUAGGGAAGAACAUAUGUGUAAGUAACUGUGCACAUCUUGACGGUACCUAAUCAGAAAGCCACGGCUAACUACGUGCCAGCAGCCGCGGUAAUACGUAGGUGGCAAGCGUUAUCCGGAAUUAUUGGGCGUAAAGCGCGCGUAGGCGGUUUUUUAAGUCUGAUGUGAAAGCCCACGGCUCAACCGUGGAGGGUCAUUGGAAACUGGAAAACUUGAGUGCAGAAGAGGAAAGUGGAAUUCCAUGUGUAGCGGUGAAAUGCGCAGAGAUGUGGAGGAACACCAGUGGCGAAGGCGACUUUCUGGUCUGUAACUGACGCUGAUGUGCGAAAGCGUGGGGAUCAAACAGGAUUAGAUACCCUGGUAGUCCACGCCGUAAACGAUGAGUGCUAAGUGUUAGGGGGUUUCCGCCCCUUAGUGCUGCAGCUAACGCAUUAAGCACUCCGCCUGGGGAGUACGACCGCAAGGUUGAAACUCAAAGGAAUUGACGGGGGCCCGCACAAGCGGUGGAGCAUGUGGUUUAAUUCGAAGCAACGCGAAGAACCUUACCAAAUCUUGACAUCCUUUGACAACUCUAGAGAUAGAGCCUUCCCCUUCGGGGGACAAAGUGACAGGUGGUGCAUGGUUGUCGUCAGCUCGUGUCGUGAGAUGUUGGGUUAAGUCCCGCAACGAGCGCAACCCUUAAGCUUAGUUGCCAUCAUUAAGUUGGGCACUCUAAGUUGACUGCCGGUGACAAACCGGAGGAAGGUGGGGAUGACGUCAAAUCAUCAUGCCCCUUAUGAUUUGGGCUACACACGUGCUACAAUGGACAAUACAAAGGGCAGCGAAACCGCGAGGUCAAGCAAAUCCCAUAAAGUUGUUCUCAGUUCGGAUUGUAGUCUGCAACUCGACUACAUGAAGCUGGAAUCGCUAGUAAUCGUAGAUCAGCAUGCUACGGUGAAUACGUUCCCGGGUCU
RNAcentral lists this ribosomal RNA (1372 nucleotides) under uncultured bacterium. Its description in RNAcentral is "bacterial SSU rRNA". It matches the Rfam family "Bacterial small subunit ribosomal RNA", at positions 28 to 1381 of the family's 1533-position model. The record is from RNAcentral.